UUUUAAUGUAUUUUACUAAUUCAGUUUUGUCACAAGAAGUCUAUUUCCAUUCUGUUGUUUGCAAUUCACCGGGUUUUAAGAAUACGACAGUUAAUAGUGACAUGAGAUAUAUGGUUUGGGAUAACCCCCCUAAGAUGGAGCCUCUCUUCCUCAACACUUCUGAUUACGAUCUGAUGGCGCAAAGUGGAGCUGCUUUUGCUAGACAGUUUAAUAGAGACGAGGCAGUACUUGACAUGAUUGAUCAGAAUAUCCUUAAGCGCAGCCCUAACAGAGUGACGCCUGGUGCAUGGUGCAUCGGUCGCAAGAAUUGGUGGAUGGAUCCUUGUUCCCGAUGGGGUGAUGUCAACGUGUUGAAACCUG
This 360-nucleotide unclassified non-coding RNA is filed under the name Hevea brasiliensis (rubber tree). The record is from RNAcentral. Lineage: Eukaryota; Viridiplantae; Streptophyta; Magnoliopsida; Malpighiales; Euphorbiaceae.